RNAcentral lists this ribosomal RNA (669 nucleotides) under uncultured bacterium. RNAcentral describes it as "bacterial SSU rRNA". It matches the Rfam family "Bacterial small subunit ribosomal RNA", at positions 8 to 670 of the family's 1533-position model. The record is from RNAcentral.
AGAGUUUGAUCCUGGCUCAGAUUGAACGCUGGCGGCAUGCCUUACACAUGCAAGUCGAACGGCAGCACGGGAGCAAUCCUGGUGGCGAGUGGCGAACGGGUGAGUAAUAUAUCGGAACGUGCCCAGUCGUGGGGGAUAACGCAGCGAAAGCUGUGCUAAUACCGCAUACGAUCUCUGGAUGAAAGCGGGGGACUCGUAAGAGCCUCGCGCGAUUGGAGCGGCCGAUAUCAGAUUAGCUAGUUGGUGGGGUAAAGGCCCACCAAGGCGACGAUCUGUAGCUGGUCUGAGAGGACGACCAGCCACACUGGAACUGAGACACGGUCCAGACUCCUACGGGAGGCAGCAGUGGGGAAUUUUGGACAAUGGGCGCAAGCCUGAUCCAGCAAUGCCGCGUGCAGGAUGAAGGCCUUCGGGUUGUAAACUGCUUUUGUACGGAACGAAAAGGUCUGCCUUAAUACGGUGGGCCCAUGACGGUACCGUAAGAAUAAGCACCGGCUAACUACGUGCCAGCAGCCGCGGUAAUACGUAGGGUGCGAGCGUUAAUCGGAAUUACUGGGCGUAAAGCGUGCGCAGGCGGUUAUAUAAGACAGAUGUGAAAUCCCCGGGCUCAACCUGNGACCUGCAUUUGUGACUGUAUAGCUAGAGUACGGUAGAGGGGGAUGGAAUUCC